AACGCACAUUGCGCCCCUUGGUAUUCCGAGGGGCAUGCCUGUUCGAGCGUCAUUAUAACCACUCAAGCUUAAGCUUGGUAUUGGGGUUCACGGUUUUGUGGCUCUUAAAAACAGUGGCGGUGCCGUCUGGCCCUAAGCGUAGUAAUUCUCUCGCUAUAGGAUUUGGCGGUUGCUUGCCAAAACCCCCCACUUCUAUGGUUGACCUCGGAUCAGGUAGGGAUACCCGCUGAACUUAA
Molecule: unclassified non-coding RNA, 236 nt
Filed under: uncultured fungus
Lineage: Eukaryota; Fungi
Description: sequence contains ITS2
Rfam family: 5.8S ribosomal RNA (bases 1-52)
Source: RNAcentral